This 332-nucleotide ribosomal RNA is filed under the name Streptomyces sp. SID8014. RNAcentral describes it as "bacterial SSU rRNA". It matches the Rfam family "Bacterial small subunit ribosomal RNA", at positions 1 to 335 of the family's 1533-position model. Lineage: Bacteria; Bacillati; Actinomycetota; Actinomycetes; Kitasatosporales; Streptomycetaceae. The record is from RNAcentral.
CAUUCACGGAGAGUUUGAUCCUGGCUCAGGACGAACGCUGGCGGCGUGCUUAACACAUGCAAGUCGAACGAUGAAGCCCUUCGGGGUGGAUUAGUGGCGAACGGGUGAGUAACACGUGGGCAAUCUGCCCUGCACUCUGGGACAAGCCCUGGAAACGGGGUCUAAUACCGGAUAUGACCGUCCAUCGCAUGGUGGAUGGUGUAAAGCUCCGGCGGUGCAGGAUGAGCCCGCGGCCUAUCAGCUAGUUGGUGAGGUAGUGGCUCACCAAGGCGACGACGGGUAGCCGGCCUGAGAGGGCGACCGGCCACACUGGGACUGAGACACGGCCCAGA